This is an RNA transcript of Camellia sinensis, 2655 nucleotides long. It is a transcript of the gene named type I inositol polyphosphate 5-phosphatase 2, with no coding region annotated. NCBI's taxonomy places the organism in Eukaryota, Viridiplantae, Streptophyta, Magnoliopsida, Ericales, Theaceae. The record is from RefSeq and is a predicted model, not a curated record.
UUAAGCCUGACCAUUACUUUAUGCCUCCUUUCUGUUUGGUCCUAGUACAGAUCUUCUUUGUAUUUGGCCCCAAACGAGCCUAUGUGUAGACUAGCUUGCUUUGCAAUGCAUAUCUUAUUGAGUAUAUUAAACUCCAGGAACACCAGCAUUUAUAUUCCUGUGCUUCCAAAAUAAGGACAAGCUCUCCAUUUUCUGAUAUUGUGCUUCUGAUCUUCCAUCACGCAUUUUUUAUUGCGAGAAAAUGAAAACUAGGAGAGGAAAGCGCUCUGAGCAAUUUUGGCCUUCCAUUGUGAUGAAGAAAUGGCUAAAUCUCAAACCCAAGCUGAAUGAUUUUAGUGACGAUGAAGUUGACACUGAAACUGAGAGUGAGGAUGAUGCUUGCUCUAUUAAAGAGGCCAGAGUGCAUGCGGUUGAGGAUCAUACCCACAGAAUACAAGGGAACCAAUCUGCAUGCGUAACUCAAACGUCAGGAGCACCUUCAAAGGGCUAUACCUCACGACACAGGAGAGGAAAAUCAGAAACUUUGCGUCUUCAGUAUAUUAAUACAAAGGAUGUGAGGGUGACAAUAGGCACUUGGAAUGUUGCUGGAAGACUUCCAUAUGACGAUCUUGAGAUUGAUGAUUGGCUUUGUAUGAAAAAACCAGCAGAUAUUUACAUUCUUGGUUUCCAGGAGGUAGUCCCUUUAAAUGCUGGGAAUGUACUUGGAGCAGAGACUAGAAUGCCAAUUCCAAAAUGGGAAGCAAUUAUCCGUAGAACAUUGAACGGAUCUCUGGAACCCAAAACCGAACACAAAAGUUAUACUGCCCCACCUUCUCCCGUAUUAAGGACUUGUUCUUCUGCUGAUAUACUUGUAGAUGAGAUUGACGAUACUGCAUUCGCGAUAUUGGGUGAAGGGACUAUAGGCACCACUAAUGCUAGUUACUCUGACACAUGUAAACUGAAUGGAAUCGUUGGUAUGGGGAAGAAACUCCAGUUGAAGAGAAUAUAUGGCAUUGAUAUUGACAGUAGAUUGGACUGGCCUGAGCAAUCCUUGGAUACAACACCUCAAGUUCUCUCUUCUGGUUUAAAAUUACGUAGAGUAUUGAGCAGUUCUGCAAGAGUUGGCUCUGAUUGGAUGGAGAAUCCUCUUAUUUUCAGUCCUCGAAAUAUUGCAUGCAAUGGUGUUGAAUUGAAAAGAUCGUAUCGUAGCUCUGGAAACCUUGGAUUGCUUUGGAUGAAUCAAGAAGAGAGACCUACAACUCUUGAUUCACUCACUGAUGUCUCUGACCAACUUUCUGAAGAGGAAAAGGAUUCUUUUCUAGAAAUAUCUGAUGUGCAACAUGAAAAUGAACUUUGGAAAGAUGAAGUGAAGUCAUGUCGUAAGUAUGUCCGAAUCGUCAGCAAGCAGAUGGUAGGGAUAUAUGUGUCAGUUUGGGUGCGCAAAAGUUUGAGGAGUCAUGUAAAUAAUUUGAAAGUCUCUCCUGUUGGAGUUGGGCUUAUGGGCUACAUGGGUAACAAGGGCUCUAUUUCUGUUAGCAUGUCUCUUUUUCAAACACGGCUUUGCUUUGUCUGUUCUCAUUUGACCUCUGGUCAAAAGGAUGGAGAUGAGCAGAGGCGUAACUCAGAUGUGCACGAAAUCUUAAAACGUACUCGUUUCUCACCUGUUCUGAAUACUGAUCAACCACAGACAAUUCUAUCUCACGACCAGAAAUUUUGGUUUGGGGAUUUGAAUUAUCGUCUCAAUAUGUUGGACGCAGAAGUAAGAAAUCUUGUGGCCACGAAACAAUGGGAUGAACUUCUGAAAAGUGACCAGCUGAGCAAAGAACUUUGCAACGGGCAUGUGUUCGAUGGAUGGAAGGAGGGGGCAAUAACCUUCCCACCCACUUACAAAUAUGAAAUCAACUCAGAUAGAUUUGUUGGUGAAAACCCGAAAGAAGGGGAGAAGAAGAGAUCCCCUGCAUGGUGUGAUCGUAUACUAUGGCUUGGGAAAGGCAUAAAACAGCUUUCUUACAGCCGAGCAGAUAUAAGGCUCUCAGAUCAUCGACCUGUUAAUUCAAAUUUCUUGGUUGAAGUUGAGGUUUUUAGCCACCGAAAGCUGCAAAGGGCUCUCAAUUUCACUACUGCAGCAAUCCAUCCCAAGAUUUUCCUUGAUGAAGAUGAAGAUGAAGAUGAAGAUGACCUUUAGCAGAUGGCAGGUAUCUAGCAAGCAUAACACAUGGAGAGAGUUGUCAUUCUUGGUUUCAAUGCUUGGAAAAUCCAACACAACUGUACGAAAAAAUACAUGGGGGAGAUUUUAGCUUAUGGGGCAAGUGGAUUUCAUUUUCAUCCUGGAUUUCAGCCCUCAAAAACAGACUUGCAAAUGAGUAUACAAGUUCACACAUUUUCAAGAAUCAGUCGGGAAAACACAUAUAUCAGAGAAAGAGCAAUUACCAGAAGACAUGAUUUCUGAAAAGUUCACAAGUUCAAAUGGAAUUUUAUUAAAUCCAUGGUUUCAAUGGUGAGUGAUUGAACUAAACUUGGGUCUGUACACAAUGGAAUUCAUUUAUCUUUUUCUUUGUUUCUUUCUUUCAUCCUUCUAUUUUGAUGGGGGGUUUCUUGUAACUGACUAAUUCUGACGACACUUUUGUUUUGUAUUUCUUCCCAUUUCAUCAGUAAUAAGUUGGUUGGUUAUCAAUA